GAUGAACGCUGGCGGCGUGCCUAACACAUGCAAGUCGAACGAGGUAUUUUGAUUGAAGUUUUCGGAUGGAUUUCAAGAUACCGAGUGGCGGACGGGUGAGUAACGCGUGGGUAACCUGCCUCAUACAGGGGGAUAACGGUUAGAAAUGACUGCUAAUACCGCAUAAGCGCACAGUACCGCAUGGUACGGUGUGAAAAACUCCGGUGGUAUGAGAUGGACCCGCGUCUGAUUAGCUAGUUGGUGGGGUAACGGCCCACCAAGGCGACGAUCAGUAGCCGACCUGAGAGGGUGAUCGGCCACAUUGGGACUGAGACACGGCCCAGACGCCGACGGGAGGCAGCAGUGGGGGAUAUUGCACAAUGGAGGAAACUCUGAUGCAGCGACGCCGCGUGAGUGAAGAAGUAUUUCGGUAUGUAAAGCUCUAUCAGCGGGGAAGAAAAUGACGGUGCCUGACUAAGAAGCCCCGGCUAACUACGUGCCAGCAGCCGCCGUAA
This 494-nucleotide ribosomal RNA is filed under the name uncultured bacterium. RNAcentral's name for it is "partial 16S ribosomal RNA". It matches the Rfam family "Bacterial small subunit ribosomal RNA", at positions 28 to 523 of the family's 1533-position model. The record is from RNAcentral.